GUGCCAGCAGCCGCGGUAAUACGUAGGGGGCAAGCGUUGUCCGGAGUUACUGGGCGUAAAGCGCACGCAGGCGGUCUGUUAAGUUUGGAGUGACAGUUGGUGGCUUAACUGCCAAAGUGCUUCGAAAACUGACAGACUUGAGGGCUUCAGAGGGACACGGAAUUCCGGGUGGAGUGGUGAAAUGCGUAGAGAUCCGGAGGAACACCGAAGGCGAAGGCAGUGUCCUGGGGAGUACCUGACGCUCAGGUGCGAAAGCCAGGGGAGCGAACGGGAUUAGAAACCCCCGUAGUCC
Molecule: ribosomal RNA, 292 nt
Filed under: uncultured bacterium
Lineage: Bacteria
Description: partial 16S ribosomal RNA
Rfam family: Bacterial small subunit ribosomal RNA
Source: RNAcentral